Molecule: ribosomal RNA, 207 nt
Filed under: uncultured bacterium
Lineage: Bacteria
Description: partial 16S ribosomal RNA
Rfam family: Bacterial small subunit ribosomal RNA
Source: RNAcentral
UGCGUAGGCUGUGUUGUAAGUCAGAGGUGAAAUCCCGGGGCUCAACCCCGGAACUGCCUCCGAUACUGCAAGACUUGAGGACUGGAGAGGAGAUUGGAAUUCAUGGUGGAGCAGUGAAAUGCGUAGAUAUCAUGAGGAACGCUAGUGGCGUAGGCGAAUCUCUGGACAGUUCCUGACGCUGAGGCACGAAGGCCAGGGGAGCAAACG